This 501-nucleotide ribosomal RNA is filed under the name uncultured bacterium. RNAcentral's name for it is "partial 16S ribosomal RNA". It matches the Rfam family "Bacterial small subunit ribosomal RNA", at positions 30 to 523 of the family's 1533-position model. The record is from RNAcentral.
AUUGAACGCUGGCGGCAGGCUUAACACAUGCAAGUCGAGCGGAGAUGAGGUGCUUGCACCUUAUCUUAGCGGCGGACGGGUGAGUAAUGCUUAGGAAUCUGCCUAUUAGUGGGGGAUAACAUUCCGAGAGGAAUGCUAAUACCGCAUACGUCCUACGGGAGAAAGCAGGGGAUCUUCGGACCUUGCGCUAAUAGAUGAGCCUAAGUCGGAUUAGCUAGUUGGUGGGGUAAAGGCCUACCAAGGCGACGAUCUGUAGCGGGUCUGAGAGGAUGAUCCGCCACACUGGGACUGGGACACGGCCCAGACUCCUACGGGAGGCAGCAGUGGGAAAUAUUGGACAAUGGGGGGAACCCUGAUCCAGCCAUGCCGCGUGUGUGAAGAAGGCCUUAUGGUUGUAAAGCACUUUAAGCGAGGAGGAGGCUACUGAGACUAAUACUCUUGGAUAGUGGACGUUACUCGCAGAAUAAGCACCGGCUAACUCUGUGCCAGCCGCCGCCGUAA